Non-coding RNA from Triticum urartu, 125 nucleotides. NCBI's taxonomy places the organism in Eukaryota, Viridiplantae, Streptophyta, Magnoliopsida, Poales, Poaceae. The record is from Rfam.
GAAAUACUCCCUCCGUUCGAAAAUACUUGUCGGAGAAAUGGAUAAAAAUGAACGUAUCAAGAACUAAAAUAUGUCUAGAUACAUCCAUUCCCCUGACAAGUAUUUUCAGACGGAGGGAGUAUGUA